Molecule: ribosomal RNA, 429 nt
Filed under: uncultured bacterium
Lineage: Bacteria
Description: bacterial SSU rRNA
Rfam family: Bacterial small subunit ribosomal RNA
Source: RNAcentral
UAAGGAAUUUUGGACAAUGGGGGAAACCCUGAUCCAGCCAUACCGCGUGUGUGAAGAAGGCUCUAGGGUUGUAAAGCACUUUAAGCAGGGAAGAAGGGGAUUGAGUUAAUAUCUCAAUCCUUUGACGUUACCUGAAGAAUAAGUACCGGCUAACUCCGUGCCAGCAGCCGCGGUAAUACGGAGGGUACGAGCGUUAAUCGGAAUUACUGGGCGUAAAGCGCGCGUAGGCGGUUUAGUAAGUUGGAUGUGAAAGCCCUGGGCUUAACCUGGGAACUGCGUUCAAAACUACUAAACUGGAGUGCGAGAGAGGGGAGUAGAAUUUCUGGUGUAGCGGUGAAAUGCGCAGAUAUCAGAAGGAAUACCAAUGGCGAAGGCAGCUCCCUGGCUCGUCACUGACGCUAAGGUGCGAAAGCGUGGGUAGCAAACAGG